Molecule: long non-coding RNA, 8865 nt
Filed under: Solanum tuberosum (potato)
Lineage: Eukaryota; Viridiplantae; Streptophyta; Magnoliopsida; Solanales; Solanaceae
Description: long non-coding RNA (STUB_LNC006028)
Source: RNAcentral
CAUUAAAAUUUGGACCAGACAUAUUUGGCGGUGUCCCUCUUCCAGGGCCAGAUUGAUUAAAAUACAUUGGAUUCCCCAAAUUAGGAGGGAAUCCAGUCCCAGGAAGCACAGGUGAGAGUCCAGGUGGAACACCUAGCAUAUUCAUCUCAAGACCUCGGGCUCCAGGCCAAACCACAGGAGGUGAAAAUGGAGGAAUGAAAACACCAGGAGCCAUUGGAGGACCUGGAGCAGGUGACAUGUUAGGAGCUAAAGACUGCAAAGAUCCAGGUGAUGGCAUUCCAAGUGGUCCAAAAGGUGAUCCCAUCAUUGGCAUUGGAGGUCCAAACUGGUGGCCAUCUCUUCCUGUGGGCCUCCCUCUUCCUCCUCUCCCAACCCUACUUCCUUUAGAACCCAUUGGAACAUCUCUAUUGAAGGAAGAUGGUUCCUGGUUUCCAUAUGGAGGUUCUGAACCACUAUUGGAAGUUUGGCCGAAGGCAGCUCGAACAGAUGCAUCUCCUUUCUGGGGCCUUGAUUCAGUCUCAUCCCUAUAUGAACCAUCACCUGAUGUAUUCUUUAUAUCUUGAGCAGAUUGGCCUGACCAAUUCAUGUUUCUUCCCCUGUCAUCCCUAGGAAAGGCAUAGUUCUCAUCAUCUGGAACUGAUUUUGCAUCAGAACUCUGAUUAACUUCAGUUGUUCUUGCUGCUGAAGAUAUGGCCUCCUCCCUACCAUAGUCAAAUGGCCUGGUUUGGAUCUCUAUGACAUCAUAAUUGUCAUUUGAAAUUCCAUAUUUCGAUGAAGUUUUCAAGGCUUCAGUCCUAUUUCCAUCUUUUCUACCACCAGAACGAGGCCUUUCAUUGUCAAUCCACCCACGUCGGGGCAUUUCCCACUCUCUUCCAUGUUCAUAAGGUGUCUCACCUUCUUUUAUUUCCUUGUCAACAAAGUUCCCUUGCCUUCUUUUCCACCCAUCUUUGGACCCAUCCCUAACUCUGUUUCUAUCGCUCCUGCCAUCAUCCCUUCCUUUUGAUUUAUCAUCUCUCGCACCAUCUUUUUCUUGUUCUUUCCUCCUGAAAGUAUCUCUUUUUUCAUAUUCCAUCUCAACGCUUUCUAAAUCGUAAUGGCGUCUUCCACCCUUCUCAGGUGUCCUGGGCCUAUCAGAGGAGUCCAACUCUCUCCUAGUUCUCUCUCGCACCCGUGAGCCACCGUCAUCACCUGCGACCGCAGACCUUUCACGGCUUUCCGCAAUGUCAUGACUUGUGGCACCUUUUAGCUGUCUAUGCUCCUCAAAUCUCUCUAUGCUCAAUUUAUCGUCCCGUAUAGAAAAUGCUCCUCCUCUGUCUUCCUCUAUAGCAUACGACCUGCCUUUCUUAAUCCUAUCAUAGUCAAUUUUUCUCUCGUCACUUUCUGGGUAUUUACCAUUCUUGUCUCUAUUUGACUCUUUAAGGCUAUCUAACAACACAUGACCCUUUUCUGUGGUACUGUCCUUUCUUUCCAAAUGUCUAGAAUCCCUUUCCAGUGCAUUUCCAGAGUCCCCACCAUGUAGCUUCUCAUUAUUACCUUUAUUUCUUGUCUGGGAACCAUCACCAUCAGAAAACCUGGAAGUUGAUUUCCUUCUGACACCAUCAUUAGCUAGGAUUUGUCCUCUAUCCCCUGUUUUAUCUCCAUUAUCAUACUUGCCCCCAAGUUCUCCAUCCUGAUACCAAUUGCUCAAUGUCUCCAAUGUAUUCUCACCGUGUUUCUUCUUUGUCAAUUUGGACCGCAAGUCGUUUUCAGCCUCAUAGUCAUCCUCACCAAUAUCAGCUUUGCUUGAUCCUCCUGAUCUUUUCCGACUCUCAUUUCUUUCCAAUGUACUUCUCCUUCUUUCAUUACUAUCUAAACCUUCAGCUUCUUCACUGUUGCCAGGCCUUGACUUACUUGACCUGUAUUUUCUCUUAUCAUCCCCUUCCCAGUCAUCGUCAAACUUUAAGUCUAGGUCAUCCUGUUUCAGAUAACUCCUUCGUCGUUCAGGGGAAGCCAUCAACAGAAAUUACCCUCACUAGAUGAUUCUCAGCACUUCAUUGAAUGAUGCAAUACCAGAUAGCCUCCUGAGAGAUAGAGAGAAAUGGAGAAAAUGAUUGAUGAGCUGACCUUACUGUGAAUCUAAAUUCAGGCAACAAUUCAUGAUAUAAGACACAGACAAAAUAUUGUAAUUAUAAGAGACAAUGAGGUACCAUGGGAGAGAGAAAUACAGAGAAUAAACUAUGCAGGUUAAACAGGAGUUUCAUUCCAAUAGUUUCAACUCAAUGAUGCUAAAUACUAUUUUGAACCCACCACAAUCUUCCUCUGAGUGGAACCAGCAAUAUGUUUCACAUGGUCAAGCACCAUUUUCGACAAAAGAACAGAGCACAGAAAAAAGAUUGAUAACCGCCACCUUAUUCCAUUUAGGUCACACAUACGCUUCCAAUAAACUUGCACCAAAUUUUUUUUAUUAGACUGGAAAAAAUGUUUUUCAAAAAAGUACUUCUAGAAUUUGGCAGUUUGUGUUUGACUAAUCAAUUUGCAAAAACACUUUUGCCUUAGAGCAGUAACUUGUGUUUGGCCAAGGUUCCAAAAGUGUUCCCUUUUUCAGCUUUUGAGUAACAACUUCUGCUACUGCUCAAAAAUACUUAGGCUUGGCCAAAUACCUCAACUAUCUAAGAUAAUCACUACCAUUUUUGGCUUCCCAAAAGCUUAGCUAAUCAGGCUAUUAACAAUCACUACCUAAUUAUAAUUCAAUCAAUCAGUUCCAAACUAAACACCACAAACUAAAAGUUCAAUAAUCUUUCGGAAACUCAUGUAUAUCUUUGUAUGAAGACUUAAGGACUCAAAUAACAGAAAACACAAGCAUAUUCCGAAUAUUUAGAAUUUACACUGAGAAACAGAAGAAGUAGAGCACCUUCCGAUGCCGGCGGAUUCGGUGGCGAGUGAUCUCCGGUGAUCAAUUCACGGCGUCGUCGUAGAAAUAUGGAGGAGGUAUGUGGAAGCAAAGGGAAGAUAAAGGAAAUCGGGUUUAAAGUAUUAUGGAUCCGAACCUCGAUGGAUCAAAGGAAAAUUGACCCGAUCAACUUUGACAUAAUGAAUACGUAAUUUAUUAUUUUUUACUAAUCGGAUUCAUGUUUAAUUUCAUCAAGAUUGAAAAAUAUUUAUUUGAAUUUAGUUUUAAUUUAGGAGGUUUAAAAGAGAAAAGGAAUAUUUGUGACCCUCUUUAGUCUUAAACUAAAAAAUAUAUAUUACUCUCCAAUACUGAGUUUAAAAAAAAGUAAAUAAGAGAUAUGUAGAGUAGAAUGAAUGUAUCAAAUACUCUUUGAUCUUGUGAAAAAUUAAAACUAAAGAAUUGACAAAAAAGAAAAGAAAUGCUACUUUUUAAACAAACUAACAAAGAAAAUAAAACAAAAGAAAUAUAUAGAUUAUAUAAAAAUAUCUUUUUAAUUUUAUAAUCUUGAUACGAAAAGUUGAAAUUCAAGAGUAGUCAAAAAAAGAGGCAAACUUUUUUAAACAGAAUAAAACAAAAAGCAAGACAAACAAAUAAAAAACCGAAGCAGUAUAAUUUUUUAUUGUUAGUUGUGUUUAGUUCUUUUGUAUAAUAAGAAAGAUAAAAUAGGACAAAUGUACUACAUUUGAGAAACCCAAAUAAAAUUUGGAGAUAGUAGGAGCUAAGAGCAAGACAAAUAUCAAGUAGGUUGAACAACAGAAGAUCCUCAAUUAUCCAUUGAUGAAGAAUAUAUAUACUCAAUUCUCUACUGAAUCAUCAACAGAUUAAAGAAAUGAAGACGUCUUCAUGACCACAAUAUCGUAACGUAAAAAAGAACUGUUCACGGCGCGGAGAAUGUGGUUUUGUCACUACAAGAAUUCAGAGUUUGUCUGUCUAAAGGCUGCAUUAUACCCAUACAUAUCGAAAAGCCUAUUAUCUGAAAUCAUAUGUCCAUCCUCUCUCCCAGGAAAAAUCUCCAUUGGAGGAGCCCAAGGACCUGAAUUCGGGUUGUUAGAGCUAGAGGUUUCUUGAUUCACAUUUUGUGAAUUAGUAUUAUUUUGGGGUGAGUUCCCGGUUGCCCUCUUGUUGGAUGAGUUGUUUGUUGUCAUAGAUAUAGAUGCUGACUGAUGCUGCUGAUUCUUCAUUGGCGACUUGGGACGAAGAGCCUCUAUUUCAGGUGUCGUAACAACAAGAUGUGGGGCAUCUGGUGGUGGAUUCCUCCCUCCCCCACCCUGCCACACUUUCCCAUCUCUAUCAGCAAAAUUCCGCACAUAGGCCUGAAAUUUUUCAAAAUCUACAGUAAGUAACGAAGACAGCAUAAUACACACACACUAAAUUAUUUCAGUGUACAAGAUUAAGCCAAUCUUUUGAUCUUCAGACAUAUUUGGGGAAGAGAUCACAAAUCACCAAUCUUUGUUUCCAAAUGAAGACAACUAUUGAAAUAUACCAUUGAGAGAACACAAAGGAAAAUGAAUAGGACAGAAUAACUAAGCAGGUCUGAUGCAUACUGAGAAGAGCAGGAAUCUGCCGACAAAAUGCAUGUUAUUUCUUUCUCCCCCUCCCCAAACCCCUACCUGAGUUAUUUUGGGUGAUUAGGGGGGGUGAAAGACAGAGCAACUAUAUACUCUCCAUGUCUCAUAAAUAAAAUGAACUAAAGGAAGGGUAACUAAAAGUUUACCUCUGCACUGAAAUUCGAUGAAGAUAAUCCAUUACCAACAGUCAGCCAGCCAGAUCGAAUAUUAUGAUCUUCACCAAAGAGCUCAAGCCUUCUCCGGCCAAGUGCAAAAUGCUCAAUUAUACGGUACAUAUCUUCAGGCUUUGCACUUGAUCCUGCAUAAGGGGACCAGUAGCAAUUCAAAGAGCUCAGCCAUUGUGCAUACCCAGUGCAGAGAGACAAUGCAGCAUAUUACGUUAAAAUUUCGUUCAUUUUAGGACAGAAUCCAAAUUACGUGCAGUUCAUGAAUCACAUGAUAGUUUAACUUCUAAACUUUCUCCAGCAGAAGCAAUAGCUGUUACAUAACUUGGAAAUAACAAACCAAUCAAGGACUACCAUAACUUGAACCUAAGUUGCUCAGACUCGGGUUGCGGGUGUCUGAUAUAGGUGUGGAUCUAGAGGUCAGAUCCUUCGUGUUCUUAAUUUUAAGAUUCGGGGGUACGAAUCCAGGUAUGGAUACAGGUGCUCAGAUUCAGCUAAAAAUAAUUCAAAUAUCCAAAAAAAGAAUUAUAUGUCUAAAUUAUAAGACAUUAUUUUGAAAACUUACAAGGUAUUUCAAAGAGAAAUUAUUGAUCAAGAGGAGGAUCCCGAAAGAGAUAAAAGGAAAAGGACUGACAUCGAAAUUUCUACUAACAAGUUAUUCCAUUUUCUUCAAUUUCACCUUAGUUUUUGUUUUGAUUACAAAAAUCAUAGGUAUUUAUUCCGAAUUUCUCCGUCAAUUUUGGUCAAAGUACCAAAAUCAGUUGACCAAAUCCGGUAUGGAUCCCACACCCACAUCGUAGCGACACGGAUGUGGCACCGAAAGUGAAGAGUCCAAGCAACUUAGACUUGAACGACAGGAGAAGAAAACUGAGGGAUCAUUUAGUUAUGAGGAUGAAGGAUAAUAAUUCCGGAAUAAAAUGUGGCUUAUUAUUCCGGGUUUUGUUGAAUUUUUAAUUUCGGGAUUGGUAAUUCUAUGUUUAUUUAUACCACAAUUGCUGUAUUAUUUUACACCACAUUCAAUGUGGAAAAACAAUAAUCCAGGGAUAAAACAACAACAUGACACAUUUGCCCUUCUCCAAAGCUCUUCUUCCAAAGUCUUUCAAGAAAGCCAAGGUUAAAAUUGAAAAUAAAAGUUUAUUCAAUGUUAUCUAGUGUGAAACCGAACACAUUUAUUAUGCCCCAUAUAUCCUAUUUCUAGACCAAUGAACCAAAUAUCUACCAAUUAAAUUUAUAUCCACUAAAUAAUCUUGUUCACAUACCAAACAACCACAAAAGGCUCUAUUCAAGAUGUGUUCAUACAGAAUUCUGGUAAAAGUCCAGGUUUCAACUGAAAGGCAUAUCCAACACCAAAACGGGACCGAAAGCAUAAAGAAAGCCCAAAAAAAUAGUGAAAGGAGCAAUUCAUAAGACAGAAUCCCCACUCCAUCAGUCUCUCAGCCUUCACCCACCCAGGGAAUGGUAAUUGUCCUCGUUUUAUGAGCAAACCAAACAAGGAGGAGAAAACUGAAGAUGGCUGGUUCUUAUGGCUGAAUUAGGGGCUUUUAGGUGGAUAGCAGGAAUGAGGGAGUGGAGAUUCCUCCGCUACUCUCUGCUGAUGAUACACUGGUCUUUUGUGAUGCCAAAUUGAGCAAUUAUUCAGGUGUUGGCUGGUGUUCUGGGAUGUGAUGCAAGGAUAUUUAUUACCUACGACAAAUUUGGGACUGUCUUUGGGGGCAAAGAAUAGGUCUAUGCACAUAUGCAAUGGGGGGAUUGAUAAAUGUGAUAAAGAGGUUGACAAGAUGGAAGGCACAAUAUUUAUCCUUGGGAGACAGGGUCACAUAAUGAUUAGUAAUGCGUUUCCCACUUAUAUUAUGUAAACCCACACCCCGCUAAGGUGGAGAAAGAUUGGAUUACUUGAGAAGAAACUUUCUUUGACAAAGUAACAAGGGAACUCAUUUAGUUAGGUGGAAAUCUGUCUCAUCCAGUAAAAUGUUAGGGGAUUUGGGGAUCAGAAACUUCAUAUUACAAAACCAAGUUUAUUAUGUAAGUGGUUAUGGAGAAUUGAUUCUUGAGCUGAGGGUCUCUUGGAAACAGCCUCUCUACCUCCACGAGGUAGUGGCAAGGUCUGCGUACUACUUACCCUCCCCAGACCCCACCUAGUGGGAUUUCACUGGGUUGUUGUUGUUGUUGUUGUUGUUGUUGUUAUGGAGAAUUGAUAUAGACCACAAUGCCUUAUAGAUGUUAGAACUUUUAUUUUAUAGGUCCUAUGCAUUCUAGGAGUGGUUUAGCCUUUCGGAGAUCUAUACAUAUAGAAGAUAUAUAGAGCUUCUGAUAAGUUCUCAUUUUCAUAGUAUUGGCAUGAGAUGAGUUUAAAUGAAGGUGCGGGGUCGGUGAGGAUUCAUAAUUUCAUAUAAUCAACCCCAACCCCAACUUGUUUGGGACUGAAGCAUAAUUGUUAUUGUUGUUGUUGUUAUUGCCAUAGGUCAGUAGCUCUAUCAGUAUCUUACUUCUAUAGGAGAACAAACAAUUGGAAAGUGGAUGACAGAAGCAACAUGCAGUCAGUUUCUGCGACCCAUAUUUCAUGAUUAACAUUUCUACUCUGCACAAAGCAAACAUAAAAUGCACACACAGCAUUGUCUGGAAUGAGAAAGAAUCUACCAUAAGGAGGUUCCUCAGCAAUAAUCACAUCUGUGUCAAUAUUCGCAUGAAUUAUAUGGCCAUCGGUACUACGACGAACAGUUCCUUUUAUGCCCAAAAGGCAGUGCUCCUAUACCAUGACAGUGAACAGCAGAACGUAAGUUCCAUAUGAUGGAAAACUACCAAGCAUGGUGAAAUGAGUGAACAGGAUAUAAACCUUUGUAUGCUGCAAUAAAGUAUGGGAAUCAUGACGCAAUCCUGGAGUUGCAGUGGUCUUAUUUGUUUUCACCCAACAUAUGUCCUCACAUCUGCGGAAUCCCCACUGCAGAAUGGAGAGAACAAUGUUUAGAAAUAAUUACAAUGACCUAAUAUUGAAAACAGCAACCAACAGAUGCAUCUAGUUGUGAUUGUGCUCAUCUGUGGCAGUAGCAGAAGGAAGAUAUCAAAAGCAGCAAUCAGCAGAUUCAUGACCAUAGAGUACAACAACAACAUACCAAGUGUAAUCCCACAAGUGGGGAAGGUAGAGAGUUUGUUACCGAUAAGACAUUCAUGAACAUAGAGUAUUUCUCAAAUUGUUUAAACUACAUACCUUCUUCAGACAUUGGCGCCCUUGCUCAAGCCCCACGCCAUCACCAACCCAAAGGAAAACAAAUGAUGGAGUGUCAGCAAUUGCCUGAGAAUAGACAGUUUACACCAUCUUUAGGCUCAGAAAGGAGAAGCUGACAGGACAGAGUAAAGAACCAACUACUCUGUAGCCAUUUUAAAAAAAAUAGAAGUACAACUGUAUAAGUCAAAGUAAAAGUUGCUAAUAACACAACAUUUUUUGCACACGAGGUUCUCCACCAGCCUACUCCAAAGCAACAGUAAAAAUAUUUAGAGUAAAGAACCAGGUUGACAUGCAAAAGUCAUACCUCAAUUUUGAGAUUCAUUAUUUCCUCAAAUGUCCAGUAUGCCAUAUGGUCAGUGACACCAGGAGCUCGAUGAACAUAUUCCUCCCAUGGGGGGUCAAUUAGAAUGACAUCAAAUUUGGUCCCAAAUAACUCUGGGGAGAGCUCCUGCUCAUGUAGGUCACAUUUGUAAUACAUGGGAGAUGAAGAAGAUUUGACAACAAUCUCAUCCUUCCUUUGAAUAAGUUCUCGAAGCUUGGGAUAGUCCUCAAUAACACUGGUAAGCUCUAAUUCCCUGAUGAAAUUUUGAGGCCUCGUGCCAGUGUCUACAAAAUUUUGGGAAUAAUCAUUCUGCUCACCCCUAGAAGGAGCUUUUCCAGGUGGCGCAUUAGCUCGAGAAGGCACCCAACCUGCAUUAGCUUUAUCUUUAACCUGUCCACGACCUCCUGGUAUUAGUGCAUUAAAAUUUGGACCAGACAUGUUAGGUGGUGUUCCUCUUCCAGGACCUAGUUGAUUAAAAUACAUUGCAUGAUUUGGCAGAUUCCCCAAAUUAGGGGGAAAUCCAGGUCCAGACAGAACAGGUGGAAGUCCAGGUGGAACACCUAGCAUAUUCAUCUCAACACCUCGGCCUCCAGGCCAAACCAGAGGAGACGAAAAUGGAGGAAUGAAAGGGGACAUAGGUGGACCUGGAGCAGGUGACA